RNAcentral lists this ribosomal RNA (512 nucleotides) under Megaselia impolluta. RNAcentral's name for it is "partial 16S ribosomal RNA". The stretch from base 389 to 512 matches the Rfam family "Bacterial large subunit ribosomal RNA", at positions 2473 to 2596 of the family's 2925-position model. Lineage: Eukaryota; Metazoa; Arthropoda; Insecta; Diptera; Phoridae. The record is from RNAcentral.
GUCUUUUAGAAUUUAAUUUAAAGUCUAACCUGCCCACUGAAUUAUUUUUAAAGGGCCGCAGUAUCCUAACUGUGCAAAGGUAGCAUAAUCAUUAGUCUUUUAAUUGAAGGCUGGAAUGAAUGGUUGGAUGAAAUAUUAACUGUUUCAUAAAAAUUAAAAAUAGAAUUUUAUUUUUUAGUCAAAAAGCUAAAAUAUAAUUAAAAGACGAGAAGACCCUAUAAAUCUUUAUAUUUUAGUAAUUUUAAUUAUUUAGAUAAAUUAAGUUAUAAUUAUUUAAAAUAUUUUAUUGGGGUGAUAUUAAAAUUUAAUAAACUUUUAAUUUAUAAUUAACAUAAAUUAAUGAAUUAUUGAUCCAUUUAUUAUGAUUAAAAAAUUAAGUUACUUUAGGGAUAACAGCGUAAUUUUUUUAGAGAGUUCAUAUUGAUAAAAAAGAUUGCGACCUCGAUGUUGGAUUAAGAUAUAAUAUUAGGUGCAGCAGCUUAAUUUUAAAGUCUGUUCGACUUUUAAAUUCU